GACUCUCGGCAAUGGAUAUCUCGGCUCUCACAUCGAUGAAGAACGUAGCAAAAUGCAAUACUUGGUGUGAAUUGCAGAAUCCCGUGAACAAUCGAGUCUUUGAACGCAAGUUGCACCCCAAGCCUUCUGGCCGAGGGCACGUGUGCCUGGGUGUCA
This 156-nucleotide ribosomal RNA is filed under the name Brassica napus (rape). Its description in RNAcentral is "rRNA 5_8S_rRNA". It matches the Rfam family "5.8S ribosomal RNA". From Rfam's summary of the family: 5.8S ribosomal RNA (5.8S rRNA) is a component of the large subunit of the eukaryotic ribosome. It is transcribed by RNA polymerase I as part of the 45S precursor that also contains 18S and 28S rRNA. Functionally, it is thought that 5.8S rRNA may be involved in ribosome translocation. Lineage: Eukaryota; Viridiplantae; Streptophyta; Magnoliopsida; Brassicales; Brassicaceae. The record is from RNAcentral.